Molecule: long non-coding RNA, 3040 nt
Filed under: Homo sapiens (human)
Lineage: Eukaryota; Metazoa; Chordata; Mammalia; Primates; Hominidae
Description: HSALNT0358061
Source: RNAcentral
UUGUGCAACUAUUUUUUUCCAAGCCCGUAUCUGCAUGUUUAGUAGGAAGCAAUAUUUUAAACCAGUCUUCCACCACCCUCUGAAAGUGGGGCCAAAGCAAUGCAUGCUCUUAAGUGCAGGGAAGUCACAUCAGCAUCCCAGCAAUGCCACCAAACCCUAAGGUAGAUAAUAUUGAAAGCAAUGGCAAAAACCGCAAUUACGUUUGCACCAACCUAAUACUUGAGUCUUAGAAAUGGUUGGUUCUACCAUCAUAGUACAAAUAUCAUAGGGGUUAAUGGCCUUGCCAAAGAAGGUUGUGGGUUAUCAUCCAAUGAAAUCAGGCCAUUUUCCACUCAAAAUCUCAUUUUCUAUACUUGGCAAAUCAUACUCCCGUUAGUUUAUUCUUACACCUCACAUAAUCAUCAGAAGUUGAAUGCAUGUGAAAUUGCGUGAAGCACAAAUAAUUUAUUAAAAGAAACAGCUUAAACAGUCCUACUUAACUCCUGGUCAACGAAUGCAGGAGGCACUGAAGUAAAGAAGGCUUGCUAAACAGACGAAGGUGAAAUUGUGGUAAUAAACUCUCUUUCAACUCCGUCUGGAGUUCAUAUUCCUCUUUGGCAUUCCCUGAAGCUGAAUGACUGAGGAACUUCCUUCCUCUACUUUUCAUGUUUUCUUCUGAGGGCAAGUUGCACGCAUAAGAAAACUUCAGUGUCAGCUACCGCGCUACAUGGGAGGUCUCUGGGAUUAACCUCCCCGACUCUUCUGAGACCAAACUGGGUAAACCAGCACGAUCAUUUGACCAUGAUGACAAAAGGACUCUACCCAGCCUCCUUGGCAACUCUCUUUGAAUCAGUAAAGGAAUUAGAUUAUCUCCAGAAGCAAAGGAAAUGUAAAGAAAUGGACAGGUUACUUUCAGGAUUAAUUCCAGUGGCCUCAUUAAUCGCACUCCUGUGGACUCUCUUGGGCCCAUCAAUGCUUUUCUGGGCUGAGCCACAAAGAACCCAGCCAUGUGACUGGUGCUUGGGCAGCAGCCAAAAUCCUUCCUGGCCCUGGCACAUGGGUGAGCCCCAGGCAUCAAUCAAGCCCUGUUGCUAUCUCAUUUGGCACUCCGCUUUCCAAGGACAAUUUCAUCCUGGGGACAAGGCUGGGUCAGGCAUAGGAAUCCCAGCUCUUCUGUUUUUCCCUUCUGGGUAGAAUACAAGAUGUACCAGUUCAGAGCGCGAAGGACAGUGUGGGACAGCAGGCUGAGGGUGGCACAGAGAAUGGUACAUGUAUCUUCUGUGCGCCAGAUGAUUCAGCUUCACUGCAAUUCUAUGCUUGAGUUCUUUAGUACAGAAUCCCUAAACUUCCAUCACAGAUUUAAUUUUUUGAAUUAUUUGUAUGCAUGUAGUCUAACACGUAUCUGUUUGUUUUGGAUGAUCACAUAACAGCAAUAAUCCACCUUUAAUUGUUCUACUUAAUGCUCUCAUCUUUAGGCAAAUGGAUUAAAAAAUGUUUCUCUAUAUAAUUAUUCUUAAAAAUUAUUCUUAUAAAGAUCUUGAAAAUGAUACCCAGAGGAGAAACAACCUAUAAUUGGAAAAGCGUUAUUAUUCAUACAAGUAAUUCACUGUUUAAGAAUACUCAUUCACAAAAGGCAUUACCAAAAAAAUUUACAAGUCCAAAAACUUGGGGAAAACAAGGGAGGAUUUGAGGGUGUGGCUGAGUGUAACUCUCUCCUUUUUCUCCUGGGGGCAGCUGAUCUUUCCGUUUGCUAAUUCACUAAGGAGAGGCUAAGCACCAGUAUUUUCCAUCUUCAUCACCUGCAGGUUGAUCCAUCAUUUGUUAUUCUUAUUACAAAAGGGCAUAUAUAAAAUUCAACUUAGUAAAAUAAUUUGGCAUUUGUUAUAAGACUAUUUCCUUGUCUAUGCCUUAGAAGAUCCUGGAACACAUGAGAGAUUUGUCAACUCGUUCAACUAACAUCGAUCAAGCUCCUACAAGACACCAGGCCACGUAUCGGGGAUAGAAAAUAGAAAGACAAAAUCUCUGUCCUAAAUAUACUAGGAUAAUAGGAUAAGGGGAAUGGGAGAAAAUUAAGGAGCCAAUUUUCCCGCAAUACAGUUAUUGCUACGAUAGGGAUUUGCAAAGCUGUCCUAUGGGAACAUACGGAGAGACACCUCACCUGGAUUCCGAAGGUGACAGAGAGGGUGGGAAGAGUGCAGAGAGGAAUUCUAGGAGUACGUGACACUUGUUCUAAUUCUUAGCAUAUGAGUAGUGAUUAGCUAGCUUGAGAAUAGGUGGGAUAGGGGCCUAAAUUCUAACAUAAUGCAUGUUUGUGGGCCUGGAGGGUACAAAGGGCACAGAACUGCAAAUACUUUGUUAUGUCUGGACCAAGACAGGAGGCUGGGAAGGCAGGCUGGGAUUCAAUCCAGAGAAACAAAUAAGAAUGGAGUCUCAUGCCCAUGAGUCUAGUAACCAACCCCAGUGAGAGGACCCACUUGAUCACUCAACUCGGCACCCAAUUUCUAGUCAGAGUGACUGGGUACAAAACAGAGGUCACGUGCAUGCUGCCAGAGAUUACCACCAUGUUCACCAGUUCCAGAACGAACCAGCUACAAAAGACAAAAUUGUUACUAUUUGAUGAAGAAACGGAAAAUUUUCACAGAACGUGGUGUUCUCUAUUUGGCUAUCACAGGGUAUCUGGUGAAACGUUUCUUGCUAGAAAAAGAUAUAAACAUAACCACAGGCUGAGAAACAGGCCCCUGGGUCAGACUAUGGGCCCCUGGGUCAGACUAUGAGCCACUGAGGCAGGGGGGGUUCUAUCUCUGAGAAAAGGGAACCAGCAUGAUUUUGUGUGACAGUAUGACAGUGUCCCAUCGUUAGUUUCAGGGUUAUAUUCAGCUAUUAAGGAUCUGGUUCCAUUUUUUUAAGUUCACAUAGUGAUUUACGUUUUCAACGAGACUAACUUAAAGUUCCAUAAAUAAUUAAAACAUAUAUAGUCUAACACACAAACCUUUCUUCAUAUAUCAUAGACUACUUUGUCCAUAAGGAUAUUUCUUUUCUUUUCUUUUUUUUUUGAGACAGG